AUACGGAGGGUGCAAGCGUUAUUCGGAAUCACUGGGCGUAAAGGACGCGUAGGCGGGUUGGCAAGUCAGAUGUGAAAUCCUACAGCUUAACUGUAGAACUGUAUUUGAAACUGCUAACCUAGAGUAUGGGAGGGGGAGAUGGAAUUAGUGGUGUAGGGGUAAAAUCCGUAGAUAUCACUAGGAAUACCGAAAGCGAAGGCGAUCUCCUGGAACAUAACUGGCGCUAAGGCGUGAAAGCGUGGGGAGCAAACAGGAUUAGAAACCCUAGUAGUCC
This 274-nucleotide ribosomal RNA is filed under the name uncultured bacterium. RNAcentral's name for it is "partial 16S ribosomal RNA". It matches the Rfam family "Bacterial small subunit ribosomal RNA", at positions 523 to 796 of the family's 1533-position model. The record is from RNAcentral.